GAUGAACGCUGGCGGCGUGCCUAAUACAUGCAAGUCGAGCGAACAGACGAGGAGCUUGCUCCUUUGACGUUAGCGGCGGACGGGUGAGUAACACGUGGAUAACCUACCUAUAAGACUGGGAUAACUUCGGGAAACCGGAGCUAAUACCGGAUAAUAUAUUGAACCGCAUGGUUCAAUAGUGAAAGACGGUUUUGCUGUCACUUAUAGAUGGAUCCGCGCCGCAUUAGCUAGUUGGUAAGGUAACGGCUUACCAAGGCAACGAUGCGUAGCCGACCUGAGAGGGUGAUCGCCCACACUAGAACUGAGACACGGUCCAGACUCCUACGGGAGGCAGCAGUAGGGAAUCUUCCGCAAUGGGCGAAAGCCUGACGGAGCAACGCCGCGUGAGUGAUGAAGGUCUUCGGAUCGUAAAACUCUGUUAUUAGGGAAGAACAAAUGUGUAAGUAACUAUGCACGUCUUGACGGUACCUAAUCAGAAAGCCACGGCUAACUACGUG
This 497-nucleotide ribosomal RNA is filed under the name uncultured bacterium. Its description in RNAcentral is "partial 16S ribosomal RNA". It matches the Rfam family "Bacterial small subunit ribosomal RNA", at positions 28 to 507 of the family's 1533-position model. The record is from RNAcentral.